CUAAACAACACCUGCAAAUUGUUCUCCUUUACCAAGGACUAUUUGAGUUCCUUCUUAUGCUUUCCCAGGCCAAAGUGAGAAGCCUGUGUGACUUGGUUUCACACAGGCUCUGUUCUCUGCUUGCUUUUUGCAUUUAGUAUCCACACUGGCACAGCCCAGAGGAAUUAUCCCCAGCAGGAUCAGGACACUCGGCUACUACCCUGCUGGGGCCCCUUCGUGGGAGACACAUCCCAAAACCUGGCAGUGGCUGCAAAAGGGUGCCCAUGAUUGGGAUCAGGACAUGGAUUAUCUCGAAGCCCUGGCACUUAACAGUUUCAAGCUCUUGGAGGAUGCUGAAGCUGAACCUGUUAAUGAAGGUGAUCUGGCUAACCAUCCCAUGUCCAGGACUGAGCCUCUGGGAUCCAGGAGCGAUUCUCUGGGAGAUGGUGAGGGUACGUCACGGCUUUUCCCUCUGGGAGAGCUGCCAGCUCAGAGCCAAAAGGUCAGCCCCAAGAAACGGGACUCAUGCACCAAUGUCCCUCCUGCUUCAGCUGUUCCCAGAGCUGGCCAUGAGCAUCCAGAGGCCCAAGGCACAGGAGCAGCCCCAAGUGGGAGCCCUGCCAUGAGCCCAGGGCCACAGCCAGCCCUGGCUCCCAACUGGGCAGAGCUGGCACUGGCUCCUGACAGGGCCUGGCUCUGUCCCCUUGGGCUGGGGGAGCUGUCGCAGAGCAGGGAGGGUCAGGGGUGGCAGUGGCUGCUCAGGGAUGGCUUUGGCCUGAGUCCCUGGAAGGAGCCACUGCCCAAGCAGCUGUGCUGUCCCUGGGCUCUGCUCCUGGCCUUCUGGGCUCUGCUGGGGGGCACAGCCUGUGCCAAGGGGCAGCAAGGUGCCUGCAGGCCCCAGCUCUGGGGGAAACAGAGAACAUCCAGGCCAUACCCAGCGUGCUGCCAGCUCAGCAGUGGAGCACAGCACGGGCUCACACUGCACAUUGCUUCCGUAGAUGGAGCCGGCACCACAAGUCAUGUUCCUGAUUCCCGGAAGGGCACCGAAACAGGUUUCUGUCAGGGAACACUCUGCUGGCUGGAGAUAACAGCCAUGGUGGCUGGUGGAGAGCUUGUCAUCAUGUUGUGCUGCUUUGGAAUCUGCUAUGCCUGCAAGAGAAAACGGUGAGUGUUUUGUUCCUCUUUCCCUCAAACAGCGUCUUUAGAAAGUCUGUUGUAGACAGGAAAUAUUCUCAGUGAGACUGCUGUGGACUUGUGGGGAGUCAGUGGCUGCCCAAAUAACUCUGCUAAGAUUUCUGCUGCUGCCCAGGGCUUUCUUUGGCCUCUUCAUUGCGGGGCCUUGUCCUGGGGAGCCCACUCGGGCUGCAGCCAGUGCUGGCUGCCACUGAGGCUGCCUGGCCAAGAGCAGCCCCAGGAGCAGCAGGCAGAGGCAAAGCAAGGUGUGAAGGAAGAAGAGAGGGGAAGAGAUUGGCCUUGAAAGGCAGAGGCACUCUGGGGCCCACUUCUGUCCAGGGACCCUGCCCAGAGCCAUCCCCUGCUUGCUGGGUCCUUGAGGGGCAGCUGUCCAGCUGGGCCAAGCUGUGCCAGCAGCUCCAGCCGUGCUGGGGAGCCUUGGCCGCUCUGGGCCCUGCUGUGCAGGAGGGGCCCUGUGUGCCAGCGGCAGCUGGGGGCCUCAGACAUCUCUUCUCUCAACAGGCACCUCCUUGAAGAAAAGCUGAAAGCUGGUGGCUGGUCCCAAGACCUCUACAGCCCGAAGAGCUACAGCAGCAGCUCUGACACUGACGAGUUUAUAUUUGCACCUUCAAGCUUUGUGAUGCUUUGAGAGGACAGGCCCAGCCCUCCAUCCAAGCCAAAAUUCCCCAGGAAAGGAAUUGGAAUUGGAAGCCUUCAACUGAACCAUGACUGAGAGCUGCCAAAAUCACGUCUUCUGUUCCAAUAAAUAGAUGUAGCUCCCACCCCA
RNAcentral lists this long non-coding RNA (1939 nucleotides) under Parus major (Great Tit). RNAcentral describes it as "lncRNA (ENSPMJG00000004132.1)". Lineage: Eukaryota; Metazoa; Chordata; Aves; Passeriformes; Paridae. The record is from RNAcentral.